UACGAAGGUGGCAAGCGUUACUCGGAAUUACUAGGCGUAAAGGGCAGGUAGGUGGUUUGGUAAGUCUGUUGUGAAAGCUCCUGUCUUAACUGGGAGAGGUCAAUAGAUACUGCUGAACUUGAGUAUAGGAGAGGGUACUGGGAUUCCCGGUGUAGCGGUGAAAUGCGCAGAGAUCGGGAGGAACACCAAUGGCGAAAGCAGGUACCUGGACUAUUACUGACACUAAGCUGCGAAAGCUAGGGGAGCAAACAGG
Molecule: ribosomal RNA, 253 nt
Filed under: uncultured bacterium
Lineage: Bacteria
Description: partial 16S ribosomal RNA
Rfam family: Bacterial small subunit ribosomal RNA
Source: RNAcentral